Lotus japonicus is the source of this 1669-nucleotide RNA transcript. RefSeq lists it as uncharacterized. The record is from RefSeq and is a predicted model, not a curated record. The transcript is spliced from 4 exons. Lineage: Eukaryota; Viridiplantae; Streptophyta; Magnoliopsida; Fabales; Fabaceae.
AAUCAUCUUCUUCUCUCCACCUUUAAUUUUUUCGUCUCUUCUCUUCCUAAAGCAGUGUUUCUUCUUCUCCUCAAACCAUUUGCUCAGUUUUUAUUUUAUUUUAUUUUUUUCCCUUCUCUUCCUGAGCUCUAUUGAUUAAACUUAACCGAGUGUUUCAUCUUCCCCCAAAACCAUCAUCAAAUGCUUUCACACAUCAAAUUAGUUUGAAAAUAUGCUUCUCUCUUCCUUCUCCCUAAACUCUGUCAUGCUGAAUCUUCUCUGUCGCACGAUCUCUUUUUUCUUCCCCUUUCCGGUUACUAUAUUGUUACUGAUGUUUACUCUGCUUAUUUUGCUUAAUGUCGUUUUCCUUUACUUGCAGGAGGGACAAUUUCUUAGAGAUGUUGGAUUGGUAUGACUCAUUGCAGGCAGAGAACUGUUCAAAAAAUAUGGAAGACUGUGAUAUAUGGCAAGUCCUUGCAGUUUUUAGUGUCAAAAUUUGGCAACACAGAUUUAUUCCAAAAAAAGAAGUGAUGAAAAACCUAAUGUUCCUUCAUGUAUCUAAUUCAUUGCUUGAAAACCUCUGGCUACCUGCUUCUUGCUAGAUCAUCCUCACGCACUAUAGUAGGUAAGCAAGUUCAAGACGCUACUUGGAAUCUACUUGGAAUCUACAAUUAUAUCUCUUUUUUCCGCAAUCAGUUAUCUUUGUUUGUUUUUAUUUCUUUUUGUUCCUUAACCUGAAUUUGUUUCACUUGCUAAAGCAUGAUGAAAAAUGAGGUUCCAUUUCUUUCUAAUUUCUCUCUUUAUUAGUUCAGUUUGUUCACUCUAUUUUCACUACGAUUUAAGGUUUGAUUCUUUUUCCUAAGCCUAUAAAUUAGUAUUUUUUAGCUUUUGUUUAUGAUUAUUGCUGGACCAGUUUUAUAUCAAUGUGCUACUUUGGUCCAAAAGGAACAAUUGUUACGAACUGCUAUUUUGGUAAUUAGGACUUGAUUUUUUGUGUUGUCAUGACUAACCUCAUGUAGUUUCUAAUGUUCUCUCUAAUUGGAUAAGUACCUUAUUGACUGAUAAUUGCUUAGUGAUAUAUGCAACUUAAUUGGAUGCUGCAUUUUUGAGAUUUUGAAGCCUUCAUCUUUGAGCUUAUUUGUGUUAUAUUAAUGGAUAAUGCUUUACUCUUGCUCUCACUGUUUUGAAAGAGCCAUGGGAAGUACCAUCUGAAUGCUUGCUUUUUGAAAGAGUCAUGGGAAGUACCAUCUGGCUUGCUUCUGAAAUCUGGAAUGCCAUGUUGGUUGUACUAAUCUUUCUAAUUCCUCAAUUAUUCAGGCCUCUUAGUUUGCUUAUUAAAAACAAAUUCAGGCCUCUUAGUGAAAACUUAUUGUCUUAUGCUCUACGAAUUUUACAGGGGCCGGCUUCACUGCUUCAUUUUUUUUAUCUUCUCCAUAGACUACAUGGAAAGAAGGAGAGCAUGUGGAACAAGAUUGUUAGGCAUGAUGAUGAAGAUAAUGGUCUGUUAUGGUAGAGCCAUUAAUAGGAGUAGAUGGUUCUUCAAGUACAACAUUGAUUUAUGGAAAAUAUUGGCUCACUCCAAAGAAUGCUUUCUAUUUGGUCAUUAUUAGUAUAUACUUAUAAUUGGAUUUCUCAUGUUUGUUCUUAGUUGUCGCUAUAAUUUAUAUUAAUCUUACAAUUUCAUUUUUUA